UUACAGAAAGGUGUAAUUAAUUAUACUUUUUAUUUAACUAGGAAAUAAUCUGACAGAUCUGCCCAGUGCCAUUUGUAGUCUUCUUUCCCUGGAGGAGAUAAAUUUUGAUGACAAUCCUUUGAUGAGACCUCCCAUGGAAAUCUGUAAAGGGAAACAAUUGCAUACUAUUGCAAGCUAUCUACAGAGGGCAGAUGAAAGAGAUGAGAAAAUCUUAGAGAAGACAUUCAAGAUAGUUGCCAACAAUAUUACUGAAACAAAUUUUGAAUUUUUGUGUCAAAAACUAAACCUGGUAAAAUCAGAAAA
RNAcentral lists this long non-coding RNA (303 nucleotides) under Ictidomys tridecemlineatus (thirteen-lined ground squirrel). RNAcentral's name for it is "lncRNA (ENSSTOG00000032178.1)". Lineage: Eukaryota; Metazoa; Chordata; Mammalia; Rodentia; Sciuridae. The record is from RNAcentral.